RNAcentral lists this ribosomal RNA (387 nucleotides) under uncultured bacterium. RNAcentral describes it as "bacterial SSU rRNA". It matches the Rfam family "Bacterial small subunit ribosomal RNA", at positions 1 to 415 of the family's 1533-position model. The record is from RNAcentral.
CGGCCGCGUCGACGUUUGAUCCUGGCUCAGAACGAACGCUGGCGGCAGGCCUAACACAUGCAAGUCGAACGCACCGCAAGGUGAGUGGCAGACGGGUGAGUAACACGUGGGAACAUGCCCUUCGGUUCGGAAUAACUCAGGGAAACUUGAGCUAAUACCGGAUACGUCCGCGAGGAGAAAGAUUCAUCGCCGAAGGAUUGGCCCGCGUCGGAUUAGCUAGAUGGUGGGGUAAAGGCCUACCAUGGCGACGAUCUGUAGCUGGUCUGAGAGGAUGAUCAGCCACACCGGGACUGAGACACGGCCCGGACUCCUACGGGAGGCAGCAGUGGGGAAUAUUGGACAAUGGGGGCAACCCUGAUCCAGCCAUGCCGCGUGUGUGAAGAAGGC